CACACUGGACUGAGACACGGUCCAGACUCCUACGGGAGGCAGCAGUGGGGAAUAUUGCACAAUGGGCGAAAGCCUGAUGCAGCCAUGCCGCGUGUAUGAAGAAGGCCUUCGGGUUGUAAAGUACUUUCAGUUGUGAGGAAGGGGGUAGCGUUAAUAGCGCUAUCUCUUGACGUUAGCAACAGAAGAAGCACCGGCUAACUCCGUGCCAGCAGCCGCGGUAAUACGGAGGGUGCGAGCGUUAAUCGGAAUUACUGGGCGUAAAGCGCAUGCAGGUGGUUCAUUAAGUCAGAUGUGAAAGCCCGGGGCUCAACCUCGGAACUGCAUUUGAAACUGGUGAACUAGAGUACUGUAGAGGGGGGUAGAAUUUCAGGUGUAGCGGUGAAAUGCGUAGAGAUCUGAAGGAAUACCAGUGGCGAAGGCGGCCCCCUGGACAGAUACUGACACUCAGAUGCGAAAGCGUGGGGAGCAAACAGGAUUAGAUACCCUGGUAGUCCACGCCGUAAACGAUGUCUACUUGGAGGUUGUGGCCUUGAGCCGUGGCUUUCGGAGCUAACGC
This 556-nucleotide ribosomal RNA is filed under the name Vibrio sp. a273. RNAcentral's name for it is "bacterial SSU rRNA". It matches the Rfam family "Bacterial small subunit ribosomal RNA", at positions 309 to 858 of the family's 1533-position model. Lineage: Bacteria; Pseudomonadati; Pseudomonadota; Gammaproteobacteria; Vibrionales; Vibrionaceae. The record is from RNAcentral.